RNAcentral lists this microRNA precursor (61 nucleotides) under Pelobates cultripes (western spadefoot toad). The record is from RNAcentral. Lineage: Eukaryota; Metazoa; Chordata; Amphibia; Anura; Pelobatidae.
UAGUGCUGCAAUGUAAACAUUGCAGUUCCCUGGAACUGCAAUGUUUUACAUUGCAGCACUA